RNAcentral lists this ribosomal RNA (253 nucleotides) under uncultured bacterium. Its description in RNAcentral is "partial 16S ribosomal RNA". It matches the Rfam family "Bacterial small subunit ribosomal RNA", at positions 524 to 776 of the family's 1533-position model. The record is from RNAcentral.
UACGAAGGGGGCUAGCGUUGCUCGGAAUCACUGGGCGUAAAGGGUGCGUAGGCGGGCCUUUAAGUCAGGGGUGAAAUCCUGGAGCUCAACUCCAGAACUGCCUUUGAUACUGAGGAUCUUGAGUACGGGAGAGGUGAGUGGAACUGCGAGUGUAGAGGUGAAAUUCGUAGAUAUUCGCAAGAACACCAGUGGCGAAGGCGGCUCACUGGCCCGUAACUGACGCUGAGGCACGAAAGCGUGGGGAGCAAACAGG